RNAcentral lists this ribosomal RNA (589 nucleotides) under uncultured bacterium. RNAcentral describes it as "bacterial SSU rRNA". It matches the Rfam family "Bacterial small subunit ribosomal RNA", at positions 338 to 916 of the family's 1533-position model. The record is from RNAcentral.
CCUACGGGAGGCAGCAGUGGGGAAUUUUGGACAAUGGGCGAAAGCCUGAUCCAGCAAUGCCGCGUGAGUGAAGAAGGCCUUCGGGUUGUAAAGCUCUUUUGUCAGGGAAGAAACGGUGAGAGCUAAUAUCUCUUGCUAAUGACGGUACCUGAAGAAUAAGCACCGGCUAACUACGUGCCAGCAGCCGCGGUAAUACGUAGGGUGCAAGCGUUAAUCGGAAUUACUGGGCGUAAAGCGUGCGCAGGCGGUUUUGUAAGUCUGAUGUGAAAUCCCCGGGCUCAACCUGGGAAUUGCAUUGGAGACUGCAAGGCUAGAAUCUGGCAGAGGGGGGUUAGAAUUCCACGUGUAGCAGUGAAAUGCGUAGAUAUGUGGAGGAACACCGGAUGGCGAAGGCAGCCCCCUGGGUCAAGAUUGACGCUCAUGCACGAAAGCGUGGGGAGCAAACAGGAUUAGAUACCCUGGUAGUCCACGCCCUAAACGAUGUCUACUAGUUGUCGGGUCUUAAUUGACUUGGUAACGCAGCUAACGCGUGAAGUAGACCGCCUGGGGAGUACGGUCGCAAGNUUAAAACCGUCAAAGGAAUUGACGG